AAGUUGUUGCAGAGAAGAAGGAAGAGUCUGCUGUAGAUGGAGCAGAGACACAGAAGGAAGCUGAACCAGCCAAACCGGCUGAGGCUGAGGUAGCCAAGCCUGUCGAGGCUGAACCAGCCAAGCCUGCAGAGGCUGAGGCAGCUCCAGAGGCUGUGAAGACCGAAGCAACUGUCAAAGCUGUUGAUGAGACUGAGCCACCAAAGCAAGAGGAGGCUGCACCAGCCAGUGACACCAAAACCAUGGAAGAGCCUCUUGUAACUCUUUAAUUCUCAAAGUCAUUUCUCUCAAAUCUCAAUUCAUAUUUGUAUGUUCGUCACCAC
This 320-nucleotide long non-coding RNA is filed under the name Brassica rapa (field mustard). RNAcentral's name for it is "long non-coding RNA (BRAP_LNC000933)". Lineage: Eukaryota; Viridiplantae; Streptophyta; Magnoliopsida; Brassicales; Brassicaceae. The record is from RNAcentral.